UGAUCAAUAUUUAAUUCAUAAUAUUUAGUUUGCAUCUAACCAUAAUUAGUAUCCCUAAUUUGAUCCG
Molecule: transfer RNA, 67 nt
Filed under: Ricinoides karschii
Lineage: Eukaryota; Metazoa; Arthropoda; Arachnida; Ricinulei; Ricinoididae
Description: tRNA-Ala
Source: RNAcentral